CAUGCAAGUCGAACGGCAGCACGGGAGCAAUCCUGGUGGCGAGUGGCGAACGGGUGAGUAAUAUAUCGGAACGUGCCCAGUCGUGGGGGAUAACGCAGCGAAAGCUGUGCUAAUACCGCAUACGAUCUCUGGAUGAAAGCGGGGGACUCGCAAGGGCCUCGCUCGAUUGGAGCGGCCGAUAUCAGAUUAGCUAGUUGGUGGGGUAAAAGCCCACCAAGGCGACGAUCUGUAGCUGGUCUGAGAGGACGACCAGCCACACUGGAACUGAGACACGGUCCAGACUCCUACGGGAGGCAGCAGUGGGGAAUUUUGGACAAUGGGCGAAAGCCUGAUCCAGCAAUGCCGCGUGCAGGAUGAAGGCCUUCGGGUUGUAAACUGCUUUUGUACGGAACGAAACGGCCGCCUCUAAUACGGGUGGCUAAUGACGGUACCGUAAGAAUAAGCACCGGCUAACUACGUGCCAGCAGCCGCGGUAAUACGUAGGGUGCGAGCGUUAAUCGGAAUUACUGGGCGUAAAGCGUGCGCAGGCGGUUAUAUAAGACAGAUGUGAAAUCCCCGGGCUCAACCUGGGACCUGCAUAUGUGACUGUAUAGCUAGAGUACGGUAGAGGGGGAUGGAAUUCCGCGUGUAGCAGUGAAAUGCGUAGAUAUGCGGAGGAACACCGAUGGCGAAGGCAAUCCCCUGGACCUGU
Molecule: ribosomal RNA, 691 nt
Filed under: uncultured bacterium
Lineage: Bacteria
Description: bacterial SSU rRNA
Rfam family: Bacterial small subunit ribosomal RNA
Source: RNAcentral